GUGAGGAAUAUUGCGCAAUGGAGGCAACUCUGACGCAGCCAUGCCGCGUGCAGGAAGAAGGCGCUACGCGUUGUAAACUGCUUUUAACCGGGAAGAAACCCCAGGACGUGUCCUGGGUUGACGGUACCGGAGGAAUAAGCACCGGCUAACUUCGUGCCAGCAGCCGCGGUAAUACGAAGGGUGCAAGCGUUAUCCGGAUUCAUUGGGUUUAAAGGGUGCGUAGGCGGAGCGUUAAGUCAGUGGUGAAAUCCUGCAGCUUAACUGUAGACUUGCCAUUGAUACUGGCGCUCUUGAGUGCGCUUGAAGUGGGCGGAAUGUGCCGUGUAGCGGUGAAAUGUUUAGAUAUGGCACAGAACACCAAUUGCGAAGGCAGCUCACUAAGGCGAUACUGACGCUGAGGCACGAAAGCGUGGGGAUCGAACAGGAUUAGAAACCCGUGUAGUCC
RNAcentral lists this ribosomal RNA (445 nucleotides) under uncultured bacterium. RNAcentral describes it as "partial 16S ribosomal RNA". It matches the Rfam family "Bacterial small subunit ribosomal RNA", at positions 354 to 796 of the family's 1533-position model. The record is from RNAcentral.